This 66-nucleotide transfer RNA is filed under the name human gut metagenome. It matches the Rfam family "tRNA", at positions 5 to 66 of the family's 71-position model. Rfam says of the family: Transfer RNA (tRNA) molecules are approximately 80 nucleotides in length. Their secondary structure includes four short double-helical elements and three loops (D, anti-codon, and T loops). The record is from RNAcentral. RNAcentral also lists the same sequence under 1 other name.
CCGUAGCUCAACUGGAUAGAGUACCUGGCUUCGAACCAGGCGGUUGUAGGUUCAAAUCCUGCCGGG